RNAcentral lists this long non-coding RNA (291 nucleotides) under Gossypium barbadense (sea-island cotton). Its description in RNAcentral is "long non-coding RNA (GBAR_LNC014943)". Lineage: Eukaryota; Viridiplantae; Streptophyta; Magnoliopsida; Malvales; Malvaceae. The record is from RNAcentral.
ACGACUGAGCUGAUUGUAUUGUGAGGACAGUCUGAUCACAUGAAGCCAACAACAUCGGACAGUGUCCAUUACCUACCAAGCUCAUGCACUUGGAGAAUUGACCACUAGGAACAAUCUGCAUCGAACCAGGUACAGUACCCCUCAAUACGCAAUUCUGGAUCCCACAUUUAAAUUGUAUAGUGAGAUUGGAAAAAUCCCAUACAAUUGGCCCUAAGGACAGCAACCAUUAAAUACCGAGUACCAAAUCAAACCCUUUAACUGAUAGUACCAAAAAAUCUGUAACACAUUUAU